AUAUAUACCUGUCAGGGGAGAUAUAAUUAUCACCAGGGUGGUUUUUCCAGAGUAAGUCUUACCCUCUGUACUGCCAAUAUGCUGACCUGUAAUUUUCCAAAUGGGGGAAAACCCGACUGCAGAAUUUGUGGUGAGGUGGGAGGACUGUGUUCAUACUUUCUCCUG
Small nuclear RNA from Vulpes vulpes (red fox), 165 nucleotides. Its record names the gene U1. It matches the Rfam family "U1 spliceosomal RNA". From Rfam's summary of the family: U1 is a small nuclear RNA (snRNA) component of the spliceosome (involved in pre-mRNA splicing). Its 5' end forms complementary base pairs with the 5' splice junction, thus defining the 5' donor site of an intron. There are significant differences in sequence and secondary structure between metazoan and yeast U1 snRNAs, the latter being much longer (568 nucleotides as compared to 164 nucleotides in human). NCBI's taxonomy places the organism in Eukaryota, Metazoa, Chordata, Mammalia, Carnivora, Canidae. The record is from Ensembl.